This 549-nucleotide ribosomal RNA is filed under the name uncultured bacterium. Its description in RNAcentral is "partial 16S ribosomal RNA". It matches the Rfam family "Bacterial small subunit ribosomal RNA", at positions 355 to 887 of the family's 1533-position model. The record is from RNAcentral.
UGGGGAAUAUUGCACAAUGGGCGCAAGCCUGAUGCAGCCAUGCCGCGUGUGUGAAGAAGGCCUUCGGGUUGUAAAGCACUUUCAGCGAGGAGGAAGGUGGUGAGCUUAAUACGCUCAUCAAUUGACGUUACUCGCAGAAGAAGCACCGGCUAACUCCGUGCCAGCAGCCGCGGUAAUACGGAGGGUGCAAGCGUUAAUCGGAAUUACUGGGCGUAAAGCGCACGCAGGCGGUUUGUUAAGUCAGAUGUGAAAAUCCCCGGGCUCAACCUGGUAACUGCAUUUGAAAACUGGCAAGCUAGAGUCUCGUAGAGGGGGGUAGAAUUCCAGGUGUAGCGGUGAAAUGCGUAGAGAUCUGGAGGAAUACCGGUGGCGAAGGCGGCCCCCUGGACGAAGACUGACGCUCAGGUGCGAAAAGCGUGGGGAGCAAAACAGGAUUAGAUACCCUGGUAGUCCACGCUGUAAAACGAUGUCGAUUUUGGAGGUUGUGCCCCUUGAGGCGUGGCUUCCGGAGCUAAACGCGUUAAAAUCGACCGCCUGGGGAGUACGGCC